UUUAUCCAUUAUAUAUAUAUUUCUUAACCAAAGUUAUUUCUUGUAAACAUCCAAUUUGGUGAGGGUCUUGUUACUAUUACACUCAAAUAUAUAUAGUGUUGCUCUUUGGAAAGCUUAUUAACAUUUGUAUAUAUUUGCUUUCUCUGAGGAAUUCCAGAACCAACUUUUCUUGUAAGUAUUUUCAAUUUUUCUUUUUAGUUUUGUGUGUGCUCAAUGAU
RNAcentral lists this long non-coding RNA (218 nucleotides) under Cicer arietinum (chickpea). RNAcentral's name for it is "long non-coding RNA (CARI_LNC000797)". The record is from RNAcentral. Lineage: Eukaryota; Viridiplantae; Streptophyta; Magnoliopsida; Fabales; Fabaceae.